GCCAGGCGUGGUGGCACAUGCCUGUAAUCCCAGCAGCUUGGGAGGCUGAAGCAUGAGGAUCACAACUUUGAGGCCAGCCUCAGCAACUUAGCAAGGCCCUAAGCAAGUGAGACCCUGUCUCAG
Molecule: small RNA, 123 nt
Filed under: Marmota monax (woodchuck)
Lineage: Eukaryota; Metazoa; Chordata; Mammalia; Rodentia; Sciuridae
Source: RNAcentral